ACCGGUGACAAUACUGCAAGGGUCCCACCCGUUCCCAUCCCGAACACGGAAGUUAAGCCUUGCAAGGCCGAUGGUACUGCGCGCGCAGGUGCGUGGGAGAUUAGGAUAUCGCCGGUA
This 117-nucleotide ribosomal RNA is filed under the name Acidipila sp. EB88. The record is from RNAcentral. Lineage: Bacteria; Pseudomonadati; Acidobacteriota; Terriglobia; Terriglobales; Acidobacteriaceae.